AUCCGACCCACCAGGCAGCGUGUUUUGCCUACACGUGGAGCCAGAAUGAGGUCAUUUGCUUGAAGACACUCAAGUACCAAGCACACACGUUGGCCAUGAAGGGCUUGGGAUUUCUGAGAAGAUGAUGAUGUCAUCUAAGUAGAUCACUACGAACUGCUUCAGAACAUUUCUAAAGAUGUCAUUCACAAAGUGCUAGAAUGUGGCUGGAGCGUUGGAAAGACUGAAGGACACAACAAGGGAUUAGUGAGCUGUUACUCCUUGAAUUUGCUGGACACAGAAGGUGGUGGACUUCUCCAUGCUGUUUCUUAUCCCUGCUGCCUGACUCUGCAAGACACCAUUGCUGGCAAUAGCCUGACUCGAACCAUACCUUUUGCAUCUUCCAGGAGAUAUUUGGAUCAUGGACCAAGAGGCAGGGGAUGCCAAGUGUGAUGGGGAAGUGAGGAUUGACUACAGGGGUUGUCUUUGGUGUGAGAUCUGAGGUGCAAUUGACCUGGGACCAUUCCGAUACCAACAGGGAACCCAUUCCACUGGGAAGGCAGCAGUUGCACUGCAGAGACAGCAGAGGAAGAUGCCGAAGGACUCUGGAGGACCUGCUUGUUGGCAUACACAGAAGGAGUCAAGAGCA
Molecule: long non-coding RNA, 625 nt
Organism: Malaclemys terrapin pileata
Lineage: Eukaryota; Metazoa; Chordata; Testudines; Emydidae
Exons: 5
Source: RefSeq, a predicted model, not a curated record